RNAcentral lists this ribosomal RNA (253 nucleotides) under uncultured bacterium. Its description in RNAcentral is "partial 16S ribosomal RNA". It matches the Rfam family "Bacterial small subunit ribosomal RNA", at positions 524 to 776 of the family's 1533-position model. The record is from RNAcentral.
GACGAACCACACGAACGUUAUUCGGAAUUACUGGGCUUAAAGGGUGCGUAGGCUGUGCGGAAAGUUAGGUGUGAAAUCCCCCGGCUCAACCGGGGAAUUGCGCUUAAAACUACCGUGCUAGAGGAAUACAGAGGUGAGCGGAACUUCGGGUGGAGCGGUGAAAUGCGUUCAUAUCCGAAGGAACACCGGUGGCGAAAGCGGCUCACUGGGUAUUUUCUGACGCUGAUGCACGAAAGCUAGGGGAGCAAACGGG